GAUAUAAUAAAAGUGCUGGAAAGAUCAGCAGACUUGAUCCAUUCCUUCACCAUGUCUUUCUGCUCCCAGGAGAAGGUCAAGCUCUGUAAGUUUCCAUCUAAUGGCUUCUUUUGUCUUCAUUCCAGCAAAGGAGAGGACUGAGUGGCCCAGAUGGAAAGCAGAAAUGCAGACAGAGGCCUGUGGAAGAAGAAUCUUAAAAUAACUAAGCAACUCCAAGAAAACAAGUGAGGAUUUAUUGGAAACAACUGCCUUGAAAGAAGAAAAAAACACUCCAACUUGUUCAAAGUACUUUAUUUUGAUUUCACCUUUGACCCAGAACUUAUCUAGAGAAAAUUUGAGAAGAUAAUACAGAAAGCUCAUAUACUUCAAGCUAUGGGAUGAAUUGUGUUCAACAAAGAAGGAAAGAACCUUUCCUGGCUGAAGUCAGAGGCUGAGGUCAGAGGAAGACGUGACUAUAGAAGAAUGAUCAUAGGAUUGCAAUAUUGCUGGUCUUGAAGACAGAGGAAGGAUGUGGGUUACAUCUAGAAACUGGAAAAGGUGAGGACCACACGUGGAAAAGGGAGGCUGAGAAUGUAAGACAUCAGCAGAGUGUGGAUCUGAUAGCUGUGUUGGGACUAAUGGAAGAUAGAUGGUUUGAGAGGCACCCACACCCUUGGAGCCCAAAACCAUGCCAUGCACAUGUAACCAACCAGCUACAUGUGAAGAUCACAUAAAGGUGUUCUUGUCCUGGCUCUAGCUAAGGUUCCAGCUCUCAGUCAGCAUCAAUUGUGGAAGAUGGGAGUGCAUGAGCUUUUAGAUGAUUUCAGUCCCCUGCCUUUGACACCAAGUGGAACUGAGAUGAUCUUUCCACCGAGCCCUAGUCAAACUGCAGAUUCAUGAGCAAAAUAAACACCAUCAUUACUGAAGCAACAUGGCAUGUGGGGUGAUAUGUUGGGGAAGCCAUAGAUAAUCAGAGAAAGCUCCUUUUCUUUGUGAGCAAUAUUAUUUGCAUAGGAGAGAGACAAAGCUGCAUGGACUGGAAACUUCCAUGACCAAAAAAGAUGUCAUUUUCUAAGGGCUUGAGUGGGAGGUGGCCCUGACAGCAUCUGCAUGAGCCAGAGAUGCACUCACACUUUCAUUAUUGCUUGAGGGUGCCAAGAACUGUAGCAGUAAGAGCAGAAGCAGAAAUGAAGAACACGAAGGAUGCUAUGGAGUGAGAGAAAAGUCCAUGCUUGCAAGAAUCCAAAGACACCCUGUGAGGACGCCCCAAAAUACUCGAGGAAGUGUGUAAGUAGAGCUGGACCUUUCAUUCUCCCAGCUGGGGUAGAACUGGAGCCAUGUGUGCAGGGCCUGCUUCUUCUUCAGGGCUGCCGUGUCCUGGAAAGCCAAGCUUGCACAUGGGUUAUAGCACUCCACUUUCCCAAAGCCCUCAUAUACAUCAUCUGUUUCAGUGCUCGCAUUAACACCUGUGAAGUAGAUAUUAUUCCCAGGUCUCACAGCCCAUAAAUGGAAACUCUGCCGGGAAAUAAGUCCUGCUUUUCUCUCUGUACCAGAGCUGCCCCAGCAAAUUAAAGCUUAUUCUAAAUGUAGGUACCUAGAGCAUUUCUUAAAUUAAACCCAGAGUGAAUUCUG
Homo sapiens (human) is the source of this 1611-nucleotide long non-coding RNA. The record is from Ensembl. Lineage: Eukaryota; Metazoa; Chordata; Mammalia; Primates; Hominidae.